GUCCAGGGAUGGGAAUCGAACCCAUAGUCAGAUGUCAUGUCCACUAGGCUACCCUGGA
This 58-nucleotide transfer RNA is filed under the name Cordylochernes scorpioides. RNAcentral's name for it is "tRNA-OTHER". Lineage: Eukaryota; Metazoa; Arthropoda; Arachnida; Pseudoscorpiones; Chernetidae. The record is from RNAcentral.